GAUGAACGCUGGCGGCGUGCCUAACACAUGCAAGUCGAGCGUGAUUGUGUGGAUUGAAGCUUCGGCAGAGAGAAACACAUGAAAGCGGCGGACGGGUGAGUAACGCGUGGGCAACCUGCCCCAUACAGCGGAAUAGCCACUGGAAACGGUGAUUAAUGCCGCAUAAGACCACAGUAUCGCAUGGUACGGGGGUCAAAGAUUUAUCGGUAUGGGAUGGGCCCGCGUCUGAUUAGCUAGUUGGUGAGGUAACGGCUCACCAAGGCGACGAUCAGUAGCCGACCUGAGAGGGCGGACGGCCACACUGGAACUGGGACACGGUCCAGACUCCUACGGGAGGCAGCAGUGGGGAAUAUUGCACAAUGGGCGCAAGCCUGAUGCAGCAACGCCGCGUGAGUGAAGAAGGCCUUUGGGUCGUAAAGCUCUGUCCUGUGGGAAGAAAAAAAUGACGGUACCACAGGAGGAAGCCCCGGCUAACUACGUGCCAGCCGCCGCCGUAA
RNAcentral lists this ribosomal RNA (497 nucleotides) under uncultured bacterium. RNAcentral's name for it is "partial 16S ribosomal RNA". It matches the Rfam family "Bacterial small subunit ribosomal RNA", at positions 28 to 523 of the family's 1533-position model. The record is from RNAcentral.